UACAGAGGUCCCAAGCGUUGUUCGGAUUCAUUGGGCGUAAAGGGUGCGUAGGUGGCGUCGUAAGUCGGGUGUGAAAUCUCGGGGCUUAACUCCGAAACUGCAUUCGAUACUGCGGUGCUUGAGGACUGGAGAGGAGACUGGAAUUUACGGUGUAGCAGUGAAAUGCGUAGAGAUCGUAAGGAAGACCAGUGGCGAAGGCGGGUCUCUGGACAGUUACUGACACUGAGGCACGAAGGCCAGGGGAGCAAACGGG
This 253-nucleotide ribosomal RNA is filed under the name uncultured bacterium. Its description in RNAcentral is "partial 16S ribosomal RNA". It matches the Rfam family "Bacterial small subunit ribosomal RNA", at positions 524 to 776 of the family's 1533-position model. The record is from RNAcentral.